This 2185-nucleotide long non-coding RNA is filed under the name Triticum aestivum (bread wheat). Its description in RNAcentral is "long non-coding RNA (TAES_LNC006799)". The record is from RNAcentral. Lineage: Eukaryota; Viridiplantae; Streptophyta; Magnoliopsida; Poales; Poaceae.
CGGGUCAGGCCCACCGGCAAGGCGCCGGUAGAUUUCUUAAUCUGCUCGUUAUGGUUCUCCAAGUAUUUUCAGAGAAUAAAACUGGCUGAAGAUGGUGCGUGCAGCUUGCCUCUGAACUUGUGAUGUCCGGCCAUUGCAUCUGGGAGGAGCUCCUCUUCAGGAAGAAUGCCGACACGUACGACACUGCUGCGACUGCCAUUCUCGUCCGCGUUUUGACUACACUUGCAGGUUGGCUCUCUACUUUAGUUGCUCGCAGCUAGCAACUCUGAACGCACUUCAUCCCGUGUUAAUUAACUUUCAGAAUUGUGCUGCUUUGUUUAUAAAUGAUGCUGGCCAUAUUAUAUGUCUUUGUCUGAAGUGAUUCUCCAUUGCCUUUGCAGAGUAGCAUUGAUGUUCUUUAGAAGUACCCUGUGGCCGAGUGUGACAUUUGGUUUAUCAAAUUCUAAUGUGAUUUUCACUUCAAUCAAUUAGCAAUAGGUAACACUUGAUAUUGACACUAUUAUCUGCAAAAUUGUUUUUGUAAGAUACUUAUGUGAUUGCCAACAAGUUUCUGAAGAUGACCGUGCUCAUGAUUAAUUGUUUGCUCAUAAACCAAAUCAUCUAUAUGCACCUGAUCAGGGUUAGAUGAAAUUCAAAGAGUAUAAUUCUUGUGGUUAAUCGUUUUCUCGUAAACAGGCAACUGCGAAGGCAAAAUCUACAUGUGAGAAGUGCAGAUGAGCCCAGUUGUGCUAAUUACCCGGUAAGUUCAACUAAGCAAGUUCAGCUAUUCCCAAUUUCUCCUCUGCAUGUGGUGGUGGUGCUAGCUACUAACUUCUAUGUUCCUGCAUGUACACUCUCAUAAUUUCCAGGCUGAGUAGUCCGCAACGCAAAUCUUAUGCUUUCUCAUCUUCCCUUGUAAAUUGCCUAAACAUUGAUGAUUGUAAUCCAGCUCUUGAUUAAUGACUGAAUCCCCUGAUUUGAUCCAUAAAAAAAAGACAUGACGCCAUCUUAUUUCUUGAAAAUGUAAAUGCCUAUCUAGAUUCUUUUAGAACAAUUUUUUUACUCGUAUGUCUAGGUUGUGAGUUGUGACUGAGUGUGAUUUGAAUAAUUGUUGUGUAGAAUUUUAGAUUUCUAUAUUUGUUCUUUGACAUAUGAGAGUUACAUUGUGGGAGUAAAUAGGUCAUAGAACAUUGAUUUGAUUUAUCUUCUGACAAUAAGCAUUGUCCUGUAACAAACGUUCAGUAAUGGCAUAAUCGGAUCACAUGCUGUAGAUGUAUGCCUAAAGUAUACAUAUGCUCUUUUUUUUUGACCGAAGCAAUACUGUCUAGCUUCUUGAGAAAGCUAAAAGUCUGAUUACAAAAACAAGCAAAGAUGAGGCUGGGUGUCGAAAUAGUACAGAUCCUGCAGAAGUUCAAAUAUGUACUAUGAGGGUAUUUGUGUGUAGCAAAGUAGGGUGAACAUUGCAUGGCAUGCCUUCAGUCCUUGGUAGUCAGCUAACGUACAUAGUAUCCUUAAAGUUUCUUCAAGUUGAGAAAUGAUCAAACUUAAUAGCAGACAUCCAUUGUGAUAAUCUAUUAUUAUAUUUUACUUAUUUGCCGGCUUAAUACAGCUACACUGUUGAUCUUUACUCCGAUUUAUCUUGUAGUAACUCCUAACACUCAAUUCCUAACACUCGCUUAUUUGCCGGCUUGAUACAGCUGCACUGUUGAUCUUUACUCCCAUAAAAAAGUCAAUUGGUGGUGGCAGUCUGUCCACUUUCGCUACAACACAUGUUAUAUUUGGCACAAACUAUUAAGAUGAGAGCCGAUAUGGAUAUUUUGAUUUUGCAUAAACCGCGGAAAGAUCUUACAACAUAGUUUUAAAAUUCCAUUUUAAUGAAUGAGUAUUGUGCUUGUAUGGGUGGCAUCAUACUGUAUUUCACAGUGCUGAAAAUCAAAUGUACAAUGUUUUCACAUAAUCACAUGUAUUUAAACAAUCUGUGUGAUAUGUGUCAUUGUCAUCCUUUGCAGUAUUCUGAAUUGGCUGCUGAAGUACUGUUAUGUCGCUGCUAGAAGGAGGGCGCGAGAGGGCCGGCAUGGGGCCUUUUUGCCCACGGCCGGGCAAGAGGGAAGGAAUUUCCUUCUUAAUUCUUGCUUGAUUAGAUUGAUACAUCUUCUCUCUUUAUAUAGAGAGGUUUACUUGAUUCCCAAGCAAGUCUUUACUUGAC